AAUGUGUCAGGAUUUUAAAUUUCACAAUAACAUUGGCUGCAUAUAUUCCUCCGAAGCCUGACUUUUGUCACUGAGUGUAAUGUCCUUUAUUGUUGAUGCUAAUGCCCUUGUUUUUUUAUUGUUGUAGUUAUUAUUGUUUUUGUUAUUUAUGUCAUUGAUGGAUAAGACAGAUAGAAAUGGAGAGAUAAGGGGAGAGAAAGAUAGACACCUGAAGACCUGCUUCACUGCCUGUGAAGCUACUCCCCUGCAGGUGGGGAGACUGGGGCUUGAACCGGGAUCCUUAUUCCGGUCCUUGCGCUUUGCACCACUUGAGCUUAACCCACUGCGCUACCACCUGGCCCCCAACAUUCAAAUGUUUUACAAAGUGUCUCUAACAGGCUGCAUGUCCUGUUUGAUUCUAGAUACAGUCAGAAACCAAGCUCCUCUUAAACCCCACUGCCAUGAGCAGAGGAUAACUUCAUCAGGCUUUGAACUCUGAUUUUACUAUUUUUUGUGUUGUUCUAACAACAAAUGCCAAUGUCAUUCUCUGUUAUAAUGGAUUUCCCAGGAGUCUUCAUGGAGGCAAAGGCCAGGGCUGAAGUGACUGGCCCUGGGCAGUGGGCCUUCCCCAUGAAGGAAAGGAUGAGACCAGAGUCGGAGCUGGAGAGACUGAGAAGCGAUUGUGUUCUGGAGUCCAUUGAGGGGAACAACAUCUCUGAAGAGAUCCCAGGGGCUGACAGAAGCUGGCUCUCAUUCCACUGAGAGAGACCCAUGCUCAGUGCACCCCCAGACUGCAGGGCUGCAGGAACUCUAGAGGCCUGUGGCUGCUGAGCUUGAUCUACACACUGGCUCUCAUCCCCCUCACCCGGUCUCCAAGAACUGUCCACCUGUAAGGGUUGUGUGAAGUCCCUCACAGAUAAUGUGGUCACUCCAGGCUCAGAAUCCUCUAAGAAGCCAGAGAUGAUGGUAGAGGACAAAGGCACCCUUCUUUCUGAGGAGUCCUCAGAGGAAGCAGUAGUGGCUCCCUUGCAGGACAUGUACAUCAUAUCCAGCGACGGGGGAGGAGAUUCAUCUUCAACGUCUUUGUCUGACUUUUGAGUUUUGAAACCUCUUCAAGGAGUCACUUGAAGGGCACUUUGGAAAGUAGCUGAGAAGGUGCAGCAAGGUAACUGAACUCUGUCCUGGUGUCAGCAUGUCAGAGGAUGAAGCCACCUGACUCAGAGAAGCAAGUUCUAGUCUUGCUGUCUUCUCUGCAGAGACUGAGGCCCAGCAGGGGGAACUGAUGGGUGCACUCAGGAAGGGGGCUGCUCAGACUGCUGUCCCACAGGUGUCCCCUCCUGUGAUACCUGAAGCUGCUCUAAGUAGAGAGCCCUGUGGGCAGGGCUCAGCUUUAAGGAGCAUUUUCCUCUGUGAGCAAGAGAGAGCCCUCUGGGGCUCCAGCAGCAAAGGGAGAGCAGGGUGCACACUGACUGAGGAGCUUGUCACGCAGGGCAGGGUCUGCUUUACUCACAGUUGUUCUCACCCCUUGCCUGACUGCCCCAGUUUCUCUCUUCUCCCACUACUGCUGAGGAUGCUCUGCUGCCCUGCAGAGGCCUCCUUGCUCUGUUUCCCAAGGUCGUGACUCAAGGCUCCUCAUGAAGAUGGAGGCCCCAGCACCUGCCUCUGCCCCAGACCAGCUCCAUGGAGGAUGAGGACGGUGCUCAGCAGAAGACUCUACAGACAGCAUGUAAGAAGAGAAGCAGCUGCACCCCUCCCCAUCAUGGACUCUGUGUUCCCCCCUAAGGAAGCCUGUGAACUGUA
This is a long non-coding RNA of Erinaceus europaeus (western European hedgehog), 1779 nucleotides long. RefSeq lists it as uncharacterized. The record is from RefSeq and is a predicted model, not a curated record. Lineage: Eukaryota; Metazoa; Chordata; Mammalia; Eulipotyphla; Erinaceidae. The transcript is spliced from 7 exons.